GACGAACGCUGGCGGCGUGCUUAACACAUGCAAGUCGAACGGAAAGGCCCUGCUUUUGUGGGGUGCUCGAGUGGCGAACGGGUGAGUAACACGUGAGUAACCUGCCCUUGACUUUGGGAUAACUUCAGGAAACUGGGGCUAAUACCGGAUAGGAUCUCCUGCUGCAUGGUGGGGGUUGGAAAGUUUCGGCGGUUGGGGAUGGACUCGCGGCUUAUCAGCUUGUUGGUGGGGUAGUGGCUUACCAAGGCUUUGACGGGUAGCCGGCCUGAGAGGGUGACCGGCCACAUUGGGACUGAGAUACGGACCAGACUCCUACGGGAGGCAGCAGUGGGGAAUAUUGCAGAAUGGGCGGACGCCUGAUGCAGCGACGCCGCGUGCGGGAUGACGGCUUUCGGGUUGUGAACCGAUUUCGCCGGUGACGAAGCGUGAGUGACGGUAAUGGGUAAAGAAGCAACGGCUAACUACGUG
This 468-nucleotide ribosomal RNA is filed under the name uncultured bacterium. Its description in RNAcentral is "partial 16S ribosomal RNA". It matches the Rfam family "Bacterial small subunit ribosomal RNA", at positions 28 to 507 of the family's 1533-position model. The record is from RNAcentral.